Molecule: long non-coding RNA, 279 nt
Filed under: Aquilegia coerulea
Lineage: Eukaryota; Viridiplantae; Streptophyta; Magnoliopsida; Ranunculales; Ranunculaceae
Description: long non-coding RNA (ACOE_LNC000705)
Source: RNAcentral
CGUUCCUUCUCUAACCUACGGGAGCCACCGCUAGUUCGCUCCUUCUCAUCAUGCCGCGAAUUGCCACUACCUCGCUCCUUCUCCCCAGGACGCGAGCUGCCACCAGAUCGUCCCGCCUCUGCUUUAUGUACAGACGACAUAAAGGCCUUCUUCAGCGACUUCCUCCUCUCUAGUUCUUCUUCAACUGUUUUUGGACGACCUUUGGGAAUAAAAUGCUCCCUCAGGUGGGGUAGGAACUGUAUCUUCCGACUAUCAGCCAACAAACCAAAACUGUUCAGC